GCUCACCUGCGAUGUUGGUGAUGACGUGACGAACACUGCGGGCCAACACUCUCUCAAAUCGGGAAUCCGCGUAAGGUGAUCAGGUGAUAGGCUUGCGUAGCCAAGACCAAACCACUUUUCAGGACUCCCACCUGCAUAGCAGGUCUCACAGGUUAACGUCACACGGCAUGGCAGGUCGCA
This 180-nucleotide non-coding RNA is filed under the name Fischerella thermalis CCMEE 5330. Its description in RNAcentral is "6S RNA". It matches the Rfam family "6S / SsrS RNA". From Rfam's summary of the family: E. coli 6S RNA was the first non coding RNA to be sequenced, but its function was unknown until recently. It consists of 184 nucleotides that fold into an extended hairpin structure with a large single-stranded internal bulge. The 6S RNA specifically associates with RNA polymerase holoenzyme containing the sigma70 specificity factor. The record is from RNAcentral. Lineage: Bacteria; Bacillati; Cyanobacteriota; Cyanophyceae; Nostocales; Hapalosiphonaceae.